Molecule: ribosomal RNA, 428 nt
Filed under: uncultured bacterium
Lineage: Bacteria
Description: bacterial SSU rRNA
Rfam family: Bacterial small subunit ribosomal RNA
Source: RNAcentral
GGGCCCGCACAAGCGGUGGAGCAUGUGGAUUAAUUCGAAGCAACGCGAAGAACCUUACCUAGCCUUGACAUCCUUGGAACCUGCCCCAAAAGGCGGGGUGCCCCUCGGGGAAUCAAGUGACAGGUGCUGCAUGGCUGUCGUCAGCUCGUGUCGUGAGAUGUUGGGUUAAGUCCCGCAACGAGCGCAACCCUUGUCUUUAGUUGCCAGCAUUUAGUUGGGCACUCUAGAGAGACUGCCGGUGUCAAGCCGGAGGAAGGUGGGGACGACGUCAAGUCAUCAUGGCCCUUACGGCUAGGGCUUCACACGUGCUACAAUGGACGGUACAAAGGGUAGCGAAGCCGCGAGGUGGAGCCAAUCCCAAAAAGCCGCUCUCAGUUCGGAUUGGAGUCUGCAACUCGACUCCAUGAAGUCGGAAUCGCUAGUAAUCG